Non-coding RNA from Microcebus murinus (gray mouse lemur), 1068 nucleotides. NCBI's taxonomy places the organism in Eukaryota, Metazoa, Chordata, Mammalia, Primates, Cheirogaleidae. The record is from RefSeq and is a predicted model, not a curated record.
GUUCUUGUCACAAUAGGAACCAGGCUAACAGGCUUCUCCCAUAAUGGGAAAUGGCAGAAACAAAGACAUGACAGAUGGAGAGAGGUUCAAAAAUACAACAGUGGGAUCACAACAUCCCUUAAUUUAAACCCUGGUAGGGUACUGCAAGAUAUUAUUGUGCUCAGCUGGCUCUACCUUAGUAGUGUCUACCUAACUGAAGACAGCACUACAACCCUUGAGACGGUGAUUUCUCCAAUGGCAGCUUUAUGAAGCUUCGGUAGUGGGUAGCUUCUGCACUACAGAUGCUGCACCGCACCAACAAAAGGUUCCCUAUAAGGACUUUUGUUGUCUAAACAUAGAAAGGCUUUGUCUGAAAAUGAAGCAAGAAAGGCAGAGAACAACUUGGCCAGUAGCACAAGGGCAAGGCACCUCCACAAAAACAGAAUACAGGGAAAUGAACAAGAGAGGUACUUAGCUAUUAAAAGCGUGUCAAAGCCUCUGCUGGAAAAGUUGCCAAGUAUUCCUCUUGACCUCCAAAACUGAAAUAAGGACAUGGAAGUAAUAGAAUUCAAACUUCUGUAUUCUCUGGCUGCUGGAGUAUAAUAUCACCUAUAACUCAAGGACACUGUAAGGAGGAAUGCUGUCUACAGACUCACAGACACUAUCGAUGUUCUUAUGUUCUGGCCAAUGCUACUUCGUUAGCUAAAUUCUGUCUUUACAAUGGGAUUCUUCUUUUUGUAACUUUCUUAUUAUGGGAAAUUUCAAACAUAUAGAAAAGCAGUCAGAAUAGUACAAUGAAGAGCUAUGUUUUCCUUUAUCAGCUUCAACAAAUUUCAACUCAUGGUCAAGCUUAUCUUAUCUUUAUCCUCACUACUUCUCCCUUCCUGUAUUAUUUUGACUCCAGUCUCAGAUGUUAUACCAUUUCAUCUGUAACUAUUUGAAUAUGUAUUCCUAAAAGAGAAGAACUUAGAAAUGACAUAACAACAAUACCAUGGUCACACGUAUUUAAUAAAAUUAACACGAAUUUCAAAUGUCUCAUAUUUUAUACAGUUUGUUUGAGUUAAGGUGCAAAUAAGGUCUGCAUAUUAC